This 49-nucleotide transfer RNA is filed under the name Primula merrilliana. RNAcentral describes it as "partial tRNA-Leu". Lineage: Eukaryota; Viridiplantae; Streptophyta; Magnoliopsida; Ericales; Primulaceae. The record is from RNAcentral.
GAAAAUCCGUCGACUUUAGAAAUCGUGAGGGUUCAAGUCCCUCUAUCCC